ACAUGCAAGUCGAACGGCAGCGCGGGAGCAAUCCUGGCGGCGAGUGGCGAACGGGUGAGUAAUACAUCGGAACGUGCCCAAUCGUGGGGGAUAACGCAGCGAAAGCUGUGCUAAUACCGCAUACGAUCUACGGAUGAAAGCAGGGGAUCGCAAGACCUUGCGCGAAUGGAGCGGCCGAUGGCAGAUUAGGUAGUUGGUGAGGUAAAGGCUCACCAAGCCUUCGAUCUGUAGCUGGUCUGAGAGGACGACCAGCCACACUGGGACUGAGACACGGCCCAGACUCCUACGGGAGGCAGCAGUGGGGAAUUUUGGACAAUGGGCGCAAGCCUGAUCCAGCCAUGCCGCGUGCAGGAUGAAGGCCUUCGGGUUGUAAACUGCUUUUGUACGGAACGAAACGGCCUUUUCUAAUAAAGAGGGCUCAUGACGGUACCGUAAGAAUAAGCACCGGCUAACUACGUGCCAGCAGCCGCGGUAAUACGUAGGGUGCAAGCGUUAAUCGGAAUUACUGGGCGUAAAGCGUGCGC
RNAcentral lists this ribosomal RNA (524 nucleotides) under beta proteobacterium TH-H1. RNAcentral's name for it is "bacterial SSU rRNA". It matches the Rfam family "Bacterial small subunit ribosomal RNA", at positions 53 to 572 of the family's 1533-position model. Lineage: Bacteria; Pseudomonadati; Pseudomonadota; Betaproteobacteria. The record is from RNAcentral.